Molecule: non-coding RNA, 82 nt
Organism: Atractiella rhizophila
Lineage: Eukaryota; Fungi; Basidiomycota; Atractiellomycetes; Atractiellales; Hoehnelomycetaceae
Source: the annotation of a GenBank genome assembly
GGUCUUUUGGUCUAGUGGUAUGAUUCUCCCUUAGGGUUUAACUGUCUGGGAGAGGCCCCGUGUUCGAUCCACGGAAAGACCC